UUCUGAAGAUACUGUGCCUCUUAUGAA
This 27-nucleotide small RNA is filed under the name Bombyx mori (domestic silkworm). RNAcentral's name for it is "piRNA piR-bmo-1637875". Lineage: Eukaryota; Metazoa; Arthropoda; Insecta; Lepidoptera; Bombycidae. The record is from RNAcentral.